This is a long non-coding RNA of Hypanus sabinus (Atlantic stingray), 2135 nucleotides long. RefSeq lists it as uncharacterized. The transcript is spliced from 3 exons. The record is from RefSeq and is a predicted model, not a curated record. Lineage: Eukaryota; Metazoa; Chordata; Chondrichthyes; Myliobatiformes; Dasyatidae.
AGAUGCUUUAACUGGUGCAUUCACAUUACAGCAAGAGACGGGGAGCGCUGCGCAUUCGUAGACAGCAGCAAAUUGUCUUGUGAUAGGCUGGGAUUAAAUCGAUGGGUUGCUGCGCAAUUUAGAAGACCCUGUUCCACAAUUAAAAGUCUUUCACCGUUCUCUUACACAAAAGGGGAUAAAGUUCAAACUCAUUCAACCAUUCCUUAUAACUCUAGGUACUCAGUUCCUGCCAGCAUUCUUGUCUCAGAGCUCUUAAGGGGGAGGAUGAGCAGCCAGAGGUCAUGAUACAUAUUAAUACCAAUGACAUAGCUAGGAAAAGGGAGGAGGUCCUGAAGAGAAGAUAUAGGGAGUUAGGUAGUAAGCUAUAAAGCAGGAGCUCAAGAGUAGGAAUCUCUGGGUUGCUGCCUGUGCGAUGCACCAGUGAGGAUAAGAAUAGCAUGAUAUUGCAGAAGCAUUAUCGCUCCCCAUCAAAAAAACCUUGAGUGCAGGAUGGAUGACUGAUACAACUUCGAUGGAUCAAACUUGAUUUGGCCAACUGCCCAAACCCUUUGGCAUUAGACCAUAAACACAGGAAAUUAUGCAGAAGCUGGAAAUCAGAGCCAUAAGACCAUAAGGCAUGGGAGCAGAAUUAGGCCAUUUGGCCCAUCAAGUCUGCUCUGCUAUUCAAUCAUGGCUGACCCUUGUUUCCCCUCCUCAGCCCAGCCUUUUCCCUGUAACCUUUGAUGCCAUGUCCAAUCACAAACUUAUCAAGCUCUGCCUUAAAUACAUCCAAUGAGCUGCCCUCCACAGCUACCUGUGGUAACAAAUUCCACAAAUUCACCACCUUCUGACUAAAGAAAUUUCUCUGCAUCUGUUUUAAAUGGAUGCCCUUCUACCCUGAGGCUGUGCCCUCUUGUCCUAGACUCCCCCAGCAUGGGAAACGUCCUUUCCACAUCUACAUUGUCUAGGCCUUUCAACAUUUGGAAGGUUUCAAUGAGAUUCCUCCCUCGUCUUUCUAAAUUCCAGUGAGUAUUGACCCAGCGUUAUCAAACAUUGAUUGUAGGAUAACCCUUUCAUUCCCGGAGUCAUUCCUGAGAACCUCUUCUGGACCCUCACCAAUGCCAGCACAUCUUUUCUUAGAUGAGGAGCCCAAAACUGUUCACAAUACUCCAGUUUCACAGAGAAGAAAUCUCAUUAAAAACUCUGAAGAAAGCUUUUGUCUGGGGUGAUCUUCGAGGAGUUAUUUAGCUCACUGCAUAGCUGUGUACAUACACGCAAUGAGGGCAGUAGAGUGAAGACUCAGCUUGCCUUCAAAGACGUUGCCUGCAGACUGGAGCCUUGUUGAAUGCCAUAGACAGUAAUGUAAACUUCUGACCAGAACAAGGUCUAUUGCCAAGACCUGGAGUCAGGUCAGAUUGUGGUGUGUCAAACACAUCAUCGCGACACUCAAGCAAAAACCACUAACAGCAGAUCUGCAGCACAAACCCAUGCAAAACUGGAAGUUUUGGGAAAGAGAGCAGCUUAUGCUAAAUGUGAAGGUAAGAUGCAAAUGGAGAAGACACGUACAUUAAGUGCACUCACGGAGGAGUGUGAAGCCAAGCUUGCCUCAGCAGAGCUGAAGGUGUAUCGAGCAGCAGCUGACUUAGUGAGUUUGAGUGAUUUACGGUGGAUGCAACAAUGCUGGACUAAAGAUAAUUUUCAAAUAAGAAGUUCUUUGUGAGGUGUUCUUUGAUAUAUUCUAACAUACAGGUUUGUGAAUGUUGGGGUCUGUAUCUGCCUUGUGUGAUUUGAGCAGGUUAUUGAUUGAGAACAAUGAGCCAUAAAUCACUAGUUGUCAGUUGAGGGAAGAGGGCAAUAAAUGGAUGCUGGCUUGGAGCAGAGCCAAGAAGAAGAUGUUAAAGGUCAGUCACAUGACCCAUAGCAAAUAACACUGAAAUGCAACAUUUGAAUUGGUAAGGAAUGAAUAUAAAAGCAGACGAUUCGAGUGUGCUUGCAGUGGAUGACACUCCAGAGACCCACCAUUGUGAAUGUGGAGAUUUGGAACAGUACUUUGAAGAACACAACUUCAGCAGAGUCUCCAUUUUACUAAAGUUACCUUUUCUAUUUGACUGUUCACGGUGGGCCAGGAAGACUUAGAAGGUGUGCAUACGGGUGUU